UUUUUUUUUUUUUCCCGGGGAGUCGGCCUCGGGGCUCUGCUCUCCUACCUCAGUCUGCCCUACCCUGGAAUGGGGAAAAUGCGGACAUGCCACUCAGUCCGGCCGCGAACAGUGCUCCAGAACUCAGAGAGUUUUCCAGACGGGUGGAGAUCGCGUUCCCUGCCCGCCGAGGUCCCAUCGCUUCCCUGCUGGGAAGACAAAUGAGGCGCUUUAGCCGUCUCCACGGCCAGCCCCUCCCUCAUAACCCGAGAUUCUUUGUGGGCUCUUAGUCCAUAGCUGCCUUUGAGGUGGUGUAGACCUUGCUAACCAGGACGGCCCAGUAGGCAGAGCUCAUUUUUAUUCCUGUCUGCAAUCGUGCAAAAACGCCUCUUAUGGAAAAGCCAGAGCGCCAGGAGUCAGCAAAACACACUAAAGAUUGGGCAGUCACUGGGGAGAACACUCAGCCCGCCUGCACCCAGGUGAAAUAUACAGCCUUGUUGCUCACACAAAGCCUGUUUGGUGGUUUCUUCACACGGAUGCAUGUGACAUUUGGUGCUGAAGACCCAGGACAGGAGGACUCCUUUGGGAGACCAGUGCCCUGUUGUCGCCCUCACUCCGUGAGGAGAUCCACCUAUGAUCUCAGGUCCUCAGACCAACCAGCCCAAGGAACAUCUUGCCAAUUUCAAAUCGGAUAGGAGUGUCAGGCCUCUGAGUCCAAGCUAAGCCAUCAAAUCCCCUGUGACCUGCACGUGUACAUCCAGAUGACCUGAAGCAACUGAAGAUCCACAAAAGAAGUGAAAGUAGCCUUAACUGAUGACAUUCCACCAUUGUGAUUUGUUCCUGCCCCACGCUAACUGAUACCAUAUAUUCUUCCCCCGCCCUUGAGAAUGUACUUUGUACACCUAUCCCAAACCUAUAAGAACUAAUGAUAAUCCUACCACCCUUUGCUGACUCUCUUUUUGGACUCAGCCCGCCUGCACCCAGGUGAAAUAAACAGCCCUGUUGCUCAAAAAAAAAAAAAAAA
RNAcentral lists this long non-coding RNA (1003 nucleotides) under Homo sapiens (human). RNAcentral's name for it is "oligodendrocyte maturation-associated long intergenic non-coding RNA (OLMALINC)". The record is from RNAcentral. Lineage: Eukaryota; Metazoa; Chordata; Mammalia; Primates; Hominidae.